CCUACGGGUGGCAGCAGUCGAGAAUCAUUCACAAUGGGGGAAACCCUGAUGGUGCGACGCCGCGUGGGGGAAUGAAGGUCUUCGGAUUGUAAACCCCUGUCAUGUGGGAGCAAAUUAAAAAGAUAGUACCACAAGAGGAAGAGACGGCUAACUCUGUGCCAGCAGCCGCGGUAAUACAGAGGUCUCAAGCGGUGUUCGGAAUCACUGGGCGUAAAGCGUGCGUAGGCUGUUUCGUAAGUCGUGUGUGAAAGGCGCGGGCUCAACCCGCGGACGGCACAUGAUACUGCGGGACUAGAGUGAUGGAGGGGGAACCGGAAUGCUCGGUGUAGCAGUGAAAUGCGUAGAUAUCGAGAGGAACACUCGUGGCGAAGGCGGGUUCCUGGACAUUAACUGACGCUGAGGCACGAAGGCCAGGGGAGCGAAAGGGAUUAGAUACCCCAGUAGUC
RNAcentral lists this ribosomal RNA (446 nucleotides) under uncultured bacterium. RNAcentral's name for it is "partial 16S ribosomal RNA". It matches the Rfam family "Bacterial small subunit ribosomal RNA", at positions 338 to 795 of the family's 1533-position model. The record is from RNAcentral.